AGAGACAGCAGUAGCCACGGUAAAACGUAGGUCCCAAGCGUUGUCCGGAUUUAUUGGGCGUAAAGCGAGCGCAGGCGGUUAGAUAAGUCUGAAGUUAAAGGCUGUGGCUUAACCAUAGUACGCUUUGGAAACUGUUUAACUUGAGUGCAAGAGGGGAGAGUGGAAUUCCAUGUGUAGCGGUGAAAUGCGUAGAUAUAUGGAGGAACACCGGUGGCGAAAGCGGCUCUCUGGCUUGUAACUGACGCUGAGGCUCGAAAGCGUGGGGAGCAAACAGGAUUAGAUACCCCAGUAGUCCCUGUCUCUUAUACA
Molecule: ribosomal RNA, 309 nt
Filed under: uncultured bacterium
Lineage: Bacteria
Description: partial 16S ribosomal RNA
Rfam family: Bacterial small subunit ribosomal RNA
Source: RNAcentral